This 474-nucleotide ribosomal RNA is filed under the name uncultured bacterium. RNAcentral's name for it is "partial 16S ribosomal RNA". It matches the Rfam family "Bacterial small subunit ribosomal RNA", at positions 30 to 523 of the family's 1533-position model. The record is from RNAcentral.
AUUGAACGCUGGCGGCGUGGAUAAGACAUGCAAGUCGAACGAGAGAAUUACUAGCUUGCUAAUAAUUCUCUAGUGGCGCACGGGUGAGUAACACGUGAGUAACCUGCCCCCGAGAGCGGGAUAGCCCUGGGAAACUGGGAAUAAUACCGCAUAGUAUCGAAAGAUUAAAGCAGCAAUGCGCUUGGGGAUGGGCUCGCGGCCUAUUAGUUAGUUGGUGAGGUAACGGCUCACCAAGGCGAUGACGGGUAGCCGGUCUGAGAGGAUGUCCGGCCACACUGGAACUGAGACACGGUCCAGACACCUACGGGUGGCAGCAGUCGAGAAUCAUUCACAAUGGGGGAAACCCUGAUGGUGCGACGCCGCGUGGGGGAAUGAAGGUCUUCGGAUUGUAAACCCCUGUCAUGUGGGAGCAAAUUAAAAAGAUAGUACCACAAGAGGAAGAGACGGCUAACUCUGUGCCAGCCGCCGCGGUAA